UACGUAGGGUGCGAGCGUUGUCCGGAAUUAUUGGGCGUAAAGGGCUCGUAGGCGGUCUGUUGCGUCAGGAGUGAAAACUCGGGGCUUAACCCCGAGCCUGCUUCUGAUACGGGCAGACUAGAGGUAUGCAGGGGAGAACGGAAUUCCUGGUGUAGCGGUGAAAUGCGCAGAUAUCGGGAAGAACACCCGUGGCUAAGGCGGCUCUCUAGUACGGUACUGACGCUGAGACGCGAAAGCGUGGGGAGCGAACAGG
Molecule: ribosomal RNA, 253 nt
Filed under: uncultured bacterium
Lineage: Bacteria
Description: partial 16S ribosomal RNA
Rfam family: Bacterial small subunit ribosomal RNA
Source: RNAcentral